UACAGAGGGGGCAAGCGUUGUUCGGAAUUACUGGGCGUAAGGGCGCGUAGGUGGCCUUCUAAGUUGAACGUGAAAUCCCUGGGCUCAACCCAGGAACUGCGUCCAAGACUGGGAGGCUUGAAUCCGGGAGAGGGAUGCGGAAUUCCAGGUGUAGCGGUGAAAUGCGUAGAUAUCUGGAGGAACACCGGUGGCGAAGGCGGCAUCCUGGACCGGUAUUGACACUGAGGCGCGAAAGCCAGGGGAGCAAACAGG
This 252-nucleotide ribosomal RNA is filed under the name uncultured bacterium. Its description in RNAcentral is "partial 16S ribosomal RNA". It matches the Rfam family "Bacterial small subunit ribosomal RNA", at positions 524 to 776 of the family's 1533-position model. The record is from RNAcentral.